RNAcentral lists this ribosomal RNA (587 nucleotides) under Sinorhizobium sp. MR-I17. RNAcentral's name for it is "bacterial SSU rRNA". It matches the Rfam family "Bacterial small subunit ribosomal RNA", at positions 57 to 693 of the family's 1533-position model. The record is from RNAcentral. Lineage: Bacteria; Pseudomonadati; Pseudomonadota; Alphaproteobacteria; Hyphomicrobiales; Rhizobiaceae.
GCAGUCGAGCGCCCCGCAGGGGAGCGGCAGACGGGUGAGUAACGCGUGGGAAUCUACCCUUUUCUACGGAAUAACGCGGGAAACUUGUGCUAAUACCGUAUGAGCCCUUCGGGGGAAAGAUUUAUCGGGAAAGGAUGAGCCCGCGUUGGAUUAGCUAGUUGGUGGGGUAAAGGCCUACCAAGGCGACGAUCCAUAGCUGGUCUGAGAGGAUGAUCAGCCACAUUGGGACUGAGACACGGCCCAAACUCCUACGGGAGGCAGCAGUGGGGAAUAUUGGACAAUGGGCGCAAGCCUGAUCCAGCCAUGCCGCGUGAGUGAUGAAGGCCCUAGGGUUGUAAAGCUCUUUCACCGGUGAAGAUAAUGACGGUAACCGGAGAAGAAGCCCCGGCUAACUUCGUGCCAGCAGCCGCGGCUAAUACGAAGGGGGCUAGCGCUUGUUCGGAAUUACUGGGCGUAAAGCGCACGUAGGCGGAUUGUUAAGUGAGGGGUGAAAUCCCAGGGCUCAACCCUGGAACUGCCUUUCAUACUGGCAAUCUAGAGUCCAGAAGAGGUGAGUGGAAUUCCGAGUGUAGAGGUGAAAUUCGUAG